UCGAGGUUACACCCUAGUCGCAACAACGGUGCUUACAGCUAAAAAUGACCACAAGCUAACCCAUGAGCUGAUACCUGUCGUGAACACUAAGCAAAAUAGUAAUACAUCACGUGUGCAGAAGGUAAGUUGAUAAGAUACUGUAAAAUUGGAUACUGAAAUAAAGUCAAAACAUGUCUGAAAUAUCUAAUAAUAACUGAUAACACUAAAAUGACUGAUUGAUGGUCUAACUAAUUGCCUGG
RNAcentral lists this long non-coding RNA (239 nucleotides) under Capsicum annuum. RNAcentral's name for it is "long non-coding RNA (CANN_LNC008819)". Lineage: Eukaryota; Viridiplantae; Streptophyta; Magnoliopsida; Solanales; Solanaceae. The record is from RNAcentral.